AAGUCGUAACAAGGUUUCCGUAGGUGAACCUGCGGAAGGAUCAUUAUUGAAACAAAGGGGUCGCUCCGGUGAGCCCUGCGCCGACGGAGACGUCGUGCUGCGGGCCCCGGUCGGCCUCGUCCACCUUCACACCCCUGUGCACCUUUGGGAAGGCGGGCCUCUGUGCCCGUCGGCCCGCUAACAAACUCUUUUGAUGUAACCUGAACGUCUUCGCGGACUCUGAGCCGCUUGAAACAGUAACAACUUUCAACAACGGAUCUCUUGGCUCUC
RNAcentral lists this unclassified non-coding RNA (270 nucleotides) under air metagenome. RNAcentral's name for it is "partial contains small subunit ribosomal RNA, internal transcribed spacer 1, and 5.8S ribosomal RNA". The stretch from base 1 to 46 matches the Rfam family "Eukaryotic small subunit ribosomal RNA", at positions 1786 to 1831 of the family's 1831-position model. The record is from RNAcentral.